RNAcentral lists this transfer RNA (32 nucleotides) under Simulium truncatum. RNAcentral's name for it is "partial tRNA-Leu". The record is from RNAcentral. Lineage: Eukaryota; Metazoa; Arthropoda; Insecta; Diptera; Simuliidae.
UUCAUAUAUAAAGGAAUACCCUUUUAUUAGAA